Pseudophryne corroboree (corroboree frog) is the source of this 307-nucleotide long non-coding RNA. RefSeq lists it as uncharacterized. The transcript has 4 exons. The record is from RefSeq and is a predicted model, not a curated record. Lineage: Eukaryota; Metazoa; Chordata; Amphibia; Anura; Myobatrachidae.
UCCCCAGCACCAGCCACAGUCAUAAGGAGAGGAGGCAGCGCUGCUCACUGCCUCUGCCUGGCUUCUCCCUGCCUCCUCUCCCUGCAGAAACUAUGAACAUUAGUAGAAUACUGCAAAGAAGAUAUGUAAUUUGACUACAGCUCUCAACAUAUUCGACUGCCUUAUACUUCUAUAGGCAUCCUGAAACUCCUAGGCUUCUUGGAAAAGUGAUCCGGACCCGUUUAGCUGCUCCUACCUCCAAAGAUAAAGCGGUGUCCGCCUCAAUCGAUCAUGAGAGGAUAGAGAAGUCUCAUCAUUAACCGGGUUA